Molecule: long non-coding RNA, 1813 nt
Organism: Dicentrarchus labrax (European seabass)
Lineage: Eukaryota; Metazoa; Chordata; Actinopteri; Moronidae
Exons: 3
Source: RefSeq, a predicted model, not a curated record
UUUUGAAAAUAUGAUAGCAGGAAAAUAACAUUGCUCUAUGUAUAUAUUGAUUAUGGGCAUGGCUGAAUUACUCCUGGUUCUGGUAUUGUGCACGAUGACUCUCUGACUGGCACACCUAAAUGCAACUGAGCCACCAUUAAUGUUAUUAAUUGAUUUUGAUGUGCCCCACCUCCAAUGUUUAUCUAAGCAGCCUCAGAUUGUGAUUCAGCUCCAGGCACUGUAAGCCCCCGCAGGACUUCACUUGACUCAACUUUAUUGCCCUGCACAGAUGAGUUUAUGACCUGCAUGUCUCCUACAAGGUAGAAAACACCUGAGAUAGUGCACACAAACACCAAGGUCAUUGAAAAUGGCUUAAUGGAUUCUAGGUCCUGUACAGUAAUACUGUUACAUAACAGUUACGUUAGGCUAACAUUAAAGAAGCACAAAGUUCAGGACUCCAUAAAAACUAUUUUAAUACUGUAAUAUUAAACUGCAGCCCAACUUUUAAAUGAUUCAUUCACAGCUAUGACCUUUGCAUCCAUGAAAACCUGAGGAUUUAAAAAGCAUCACAAAGAGAGUAAAAGAAAACAGUCCUGAGCUUGAAAAACUAUGGAUACUGUAUUGCCAGAAUGAAUAAUUAAUGUAAUGAAAGUAAAAUAAAUAAUCUUGUUAGUGAACAUUUUGCAGAUAUGUCCAGCAACAUUUUGUGACUUGGCACAUACUGUAUAUUCAUUAUCAGUGUUUCCUCAUUAUUGUGAUAAAAACUUGAAUUCAGGUUCAAAUAAUAUGUUUAGACCAAAAAUUUAUUUGCUGUUGCAAAUUGAGCAUUUGGAUAUUUGCAUGCAAAUAUGACACAUUAGGACUAUAAGGUAAGGAAAACUUUAGACUUUAAAGUCAAAAUGUUGCCUCUCAGGAAAGGCUCAAGAGAGAAGCUUAAAUCUGCGCAUGUGCAGAAAUUACUUUAAUAUUAAACCACAUUUCAUGAGUCUUUUCCCCCAACAACUGGAAUGAACCGGUUAGAUUCACACCGCUAUCACCCAUUUGUCUAAAUAACUUUAACAAUGCGUCUCUGUGCAGAUUUUUUCCUGUUAACAUAGACACAAAUCACAUGGUAGAAAAACAGAAAGGGAAACAGAUAGAGAAACUUUGAAAACCUUUGUUCACAAUUGUAAAAAAAAAAAAAACCUUGUGUCCGCAGCAUGAACCUCUGCGUCAUGUCCGCAAACUGAACCUCUCAUAGCUUCUCAGCAGAACUUCAAGGUGACACACUAUACUUGGCUGGACUUUUUCACAGGGGCUAAUGCAAGCCAGUACACAGCUGCACGUGCACAUGUAAACAUUGAGUCAUGAGUCAGGGAUGCAAUCACCAACCCCCUCGCUCCCCCCCAUCACACCACCUCAUCCAACAUGAGCCAAUGGGAGAAGCACAACACACCUCAUGCACUGGUCUUCUGGAGCUCCACAUACCAAAGCUGCCUGAGGCCACAAAACAAACACGCACUGCAAAAAUAUAUAUGUUUAACCAAUGAAAUGCAGCUAAAUAGGCGUAAAGUAUCAACAUCAGUGAUACAUUAUAAUGCAAAAAAAUUUAUAUUUUCAUACAACUUAAUGAGGUGUAAAGUAUGAAUGUACUUUUUAAAAAGCUUAUUGAAAUGACCUCCUUCUACUAGAUGGCUUAAGUAACUUUGACACAACUUCAUGUGAUGUGCUAUUUGCCCUAAAGUGAAUGGAAGAUUUUGCUUCACUUGUGUGAUAUUUCACAAUACCUUGACUGUAUAAACAAUGGUUCUUCACAAUAAACUAGGAGACAUGCUGCAGGUUUAUGAUAAACAGA